This 497-nucleotide ribosomal RNA is filed under the name uncultured bacterium. RNAcentral's name for it is "partial 16S ribosomal RNA". It matches the Rfam family "Bacterial small subunit ribosomal RNA", at positions 28 to 507 of the family's 1533-position model. The record is from RNAcentral.
GACGAACGCUGGCGGCGUGCCUAAUACAUGCAAGUUGAGCGCUGAAGGUUGGUACUUGUACCAACUGGAUGAGCAGCGAACGGGUGAGUAACGCGUGGGGAAUCUGCCUUUGAGCGGGGGACAACAUUUGGAAACGAAUGCUAAUACCGCAUAAAAACUUUAAACACAAGUUUUAAGUUUGAAAGAUGCAAUUGCAUCACUCAAAGAUGAUCCCGCGUUGUAUUAGCUAGUUGGUGAGGUAAAGGCUCACCAAGGCGAUGAUACAUAGCCGACCUGAGAGGGUGAUCGGCCACAUUGGGACUGAGACACGGCCCAAACUCCUACGGGAGGCAGCAGUAGGGAAUCUUCGGCAAUGGACGAAAGUCUGACCGAGCAACGCCGCGUGAGUGAAGAAGGGUGUCGGACCGUAAAACUCGGUUGGUAGAGAAGAACGUUGGUGAGAGUGGAAAGCUCAUCAAGUGACGGUAACUACCCAGAAAGGGACGGCUAACUACGUG